This 1343-nucleotide ribosomal RNA is filed under the name uncultured bacterium. RNAcentral's name for it is "16S ribosomal RNA". It matches the Rfam family "Bacterial small subunit ribosomal RNA", at positions 28 to 1378 of the family's 1533-position model. The record is from RNAcentral.
GACGAACGCUGGCGGCGUGCUUAACACAUGCAAGUCGAACGGAAAGGCCCUGCUUUUGUGGGGUGCUCGAGUGGCGAACGGGUGAGUAACACGUGAGUAACCUGCCCUUGACUUUGGGAUAACUUCAGGAAACUGGGGCUAAUACCGGAUAGGAGCUCCUGCUGCAUGGUGGGGGUUGGAAAGUUUCGGCGGUUGGGGAUGGACUCGCGGCUUAUCAGCUUGUUGGUGGGGUAGUGGCUUACCAAGGCUUUGACGGGUAGCCGGCCUGAGAGGGUGACCGGCCACAUUGGGACUGAGAUACGGCCCAGACUCCUACGGGAGGCAGCAGUGGGGAAUAUUGCACAAUGGGCGGAAGCCUGAUGCAGCAACGCCGCGUGCGGGAUGACGGCCUUCGGGUUGUAAACCGCUUUCGCCUGUGACGAAGCGUGAGUGACGGUAAUGGGUAAAGAAGCACCGGCUAACUACGUGCCAGCAGCCGCGGUGAUACGUAGGGUGCGAGCGUUGUCCGGAUUUAUUGGGCGUAAAGGGCUCGUAGGUGGUUGAUCGCGUCGGAAGUGUAAUCUUGGGGCUUAACCCUGAGCGUGCUUUCGAUACGGGUUGACUUGAGGAAGGUAGGGGAGAAUGGAAUUCCUGGUGGGGCGGUGGAAUGCGCAGAUAUCAGGAGGAACACCAGUGGCGAAGGCGGUUCUCUGGGCCUUUCCUGACGCUGAGGAGCGAAAGCGUGGGGAGCGAACAGGCUUAGAUACCCUGGUAGUCCACGCUGUAAACGGUGGGUACUAGGUGUGGGGUCCAUUCCACGGGUUCCGUGCCGUAGCUAACGCUUUAAGUACCCCGCCUGGGGAGUACGGCCGCAAGGCUAGAACCCAAAGGAAUUGACGGGGCCCCGCACAAGCGGCGGAGCAUGCGGAUUAAUUCGAUGCAACGCGUAGAACCUUACCUGGGUUUGACAUGGAUCGGGAGUGCUCAGAGAUGGGUGUGCCUCUUUUGGGGUCGGUUCACAGGUGGUGCAUGGCUGUCGUCAGCUCGUGUCGUGAGAUGUUGGGUUAAGUCCUGCAACGAGCGCAACCCUUGUUCACUGUUGCCAGCACGUUAUGGUGGGGACUCAGUGGAGACCGCCGGGGUCAACUCGGAGGAAGGUGGGGAUGACGUCAAGUCAUCAUGCCCCUUAUGUCCAGGGCUUCACGCAUGCUACAAUGGCUGGUACAGAGAGUGGCGAGCCUGUGAGGGUGAGCGAAUCUCGGAAAGCCGGUCUCAGUUCGGAUUGGGGUCUGCAACUCGACCUCAUGAAGUCGGAGUCGCUAGUAAUCGCAGAUCAGCAACGCUGCGGUGAAUACGUUCCCGGG